Molecule: long non-coding RNA, 368 nt
Filed under: Bos taurus (domestic cattle)
Lineage: Eukaryota; Metazoa; Chordata; Mammalia; Artiodactyla; Bovidae
Description: long non-coding RNA NONBTAT008319
Source: RNAcentral
AAUUGACCUUUAUUCCUUUUGAAUAUCUGGAUAUUUUAUUUUUUAAUGACUCCUUGCUGUAACCACAGGAUAAAAUGCUUGAAAAUGUCUUUAAUUUGGAGACAGUCUAGUGGGAAUCUGAACUCAGAUCAUCAAGGUGGCUGCUUUUUUCCCAUAUGGAAAAGCAGAAAUAAAGCUAGCUUGCAUUUCCUUCCUAGGUAGACUCCAGACAACUUUGAAUCAGGGUGUACACAUAUCCUCACCUCAGACAGUUAGGGGUUAGAUUUUGCUGGAAAAUGAGAUAAUAGUAAACUAGAGCAGGAGUUUCCCCUUUUAAGCUUAUUGUACAAAGUGCAGCAGGAGGAAAAGAGAACUUUCUGAUUCACAAA